CUUUAUAUAAGUUUGGCAAGCAAAGGUGGCCUCUGAUUUAAGCUACUGCAUGAAGAGGGGGUCUGCGUACCAUUAGCUAGUAGGUGGGGUAAUGGCCCACCUAGGCGACGAUGGUUAGCGGGUCUGAGAGGAUGAUCCGCCACACUGGCACUGGAACACGGGGCCAGACUCCUACGGGAGGCAGCAGUGAGGAAUAUUGCGCAAUGGGGGCAACCCUGACGCAGCGACGCCGCGUGAGUGAGGAAGGCCUUCGGGUCGUAAAGCUCUGUCAAAGGGAAAGAAGUGCAUGAUGGUUAAUACCUGUCAUGUUUGACGGUACCCUUAAAGGAAGCACCGGCUAACUCCGUGCCAGCAGCCGCGGUAAUACGGAGGGUGCAAGCGUUGUUCGGAAUCACUGGGCGUAAAGGGCGCGUAGGCGGUUUGAUAAGUCAGAUGUGAAAGCCCACGGCUUAACUGUGGAAGUGCAUUUGAAACUGUCAGACUUGAGUAUCAGAGGGGAAAGUGGAAUUCCCGGUGUAGAG
RNAcentral lists this ribosomal RNA (521 nucleotides) under uncultured bacterium. RNAcentral's name for it is "bacterial SSU rRNA". It matches the Rfam family "Bacterial small subunit ribosomal RNA", at positions 182 to 680 of the family's 1533-position model. The record is from RNAcentral.